Capsicum annuum is the source of this 95-nucleotide non-coding RNA. NCBI's taxonomy places the organism in Eukaryota, Viridiplantae, Streptophyta, Magnoliopsida, Solanales, Solanaceae. The record is from Rfam.
GUAUGGCAAGUAUGAUGAGUCUACUAGAUGUGUCAGGGGUGUAUUCCCAGAGAGCUAAAACCUCUGAGGCUUAUUGAUAUUCUGACUUGCCAACC